Molecule: long non-coding RNA, 4425 nt
Organism: Oncorhynchus keta (chum salmon)
Lineage: Eukaryota; Metazoa; Chordata; Actinopteri; Salmoniformes; Salmonidae
Exons: 7
Source: RefSeq, a predicted model, not a curated record
UAAACCAGCCUUAUUAUAGAGGGGAUCAGCAGGUCCUGGAUCAGCCUGAUGUCUUUAAACCAGCCUUAUUAUAGAGGGGAUCGGCAGGUCCUGGAUCAGUCUGAUGUCUUUAAACCAGCCUUAUUAUAGAGGGGAUCGGCAGGUCCUGGAUCAGUCUGAUGUCUUUAAACCAGCCUUAUUAUAGAGGGGAUCAGCAGGUCCUGGAUCAGUCUGAGGUCUUUAAACCAGCCUUAUUAUAGAGGGGAUCAGCAGGUCCUGGAUCAGUCUGAUGUCUUUAAACCAGCCUGAGGUCUUUAAACCAGCCUUAUUAUAGAGGGGAUCGGCAGGUCCUGGAUCAGCCUGAUGUCUUUAAACCAGUCUGAAGUCUUUAAACCAGCCUUAUUAUAGAGGGGAUCGGCAGGUCCUGGAUCAGCCUGAUGUCUUUAAACCAGCCUUAUUAUAGAGGGGAUCAGCAGGUCCUGGAUCAGUCUGAAGUCUUUAAACCAGCCUUAUUAUAGAGGGGAUCGGCAGGUCCUGGAUCAGUCUGAAGUCUUUAAACCAGCCUUAUUAUAGAGGGGAUCGGCAGGUCCUGGAUCAGUCUGAUGUCUUUAAACCAGCCUUAUUAUAGAGGGGAUCGGCAGGUCCUGGAUCAGUCUGAUGUCUUUAAACCAGCCUUAUUAUAGAGGGGAUCAGCAGGUCCUGGAUCAGCCUGAUGUCUUUAAACCAGCCUUAUUAUAGAGGGGAUCGGCAGGUCCUGGAUCAGUCUGAAGUCUUUAAACCAGCCUGAUGUCUUUAAACCAGCCUUAUUAUAGAGGGGAUCAGCAGGUCCUGGAUCAGUCUGAUGUCUUUAAACCAGCCUUAUUAUAGAGGGGAUCAGCAGGUCCUGGAUCAGUCUGAAGUCUUUAAACCAGCCUUAUUAUAGAGGGGAUCAGCAGGUCCUGGAUCAGUCUGAUGUCUUUAAACCAGCCUUAUUAUAGAGGGGAUCAGCAGGUCCUGGAUCAGUCUGUCUUUAAACCAGCCUUAUUAUAGAGGGGAUCAGCAGGUCCUGGAUCAGCCUGAUGUCUUUAAACCAGCCUUAUUAUAGAGGGGAUCGGCAGGUCCUGGAUCAGUCUGAUGUCUUUAAACCAGCCUUAUUAUAGAGGGGAUCGGCAGGUCCUGGAUCAGUCUGAUGUCUUUAAACCAGCCUUAUUAUAGAGGGGAUCAGCAGGUCCUGGAUCAGUCUGAUGUCUUUAAACCAGCCUUAUUAUAGAGGGGAUCGGCAGGUCCUGGAUCAGUCUGAUGUCUUUAAACCAGCCUUAUUAUAGAGGGGAUCAGCAGGUCCUGGAUCAGUCUGAAGUCUUUAAACCAGCCUGAUGUCUUUAAACCAGCCUUAUUAUAGAGGGGAUCGGCAGGUCCUGGAUCAGUCUGAUGUCUUUAAACCAGCCUGAUGUCUUUAAACCAGCCUUAUUAUAGAGGGGAUCAGCAGGUCCUGGAUCAGUCUGAUGUCUUUAAACCAGCCUUAUUAUAGAGGGGAUCGGCAGGUCCUGGAUCAGCCUGAUGUCUUUAAACCAGCCUUAUUAUAGAGGGGAUCGGCAGGUCCUGGAUCAGUCUAAUGUCUUUAAACCAGCCUUAUUAUAGAGGGGAUCGGCAGGUCCUGGAUCAGUCUGAUGUCUUUAAACCAGCCUUAUUAUAGAGGGGAUCGGCAGGUCCUGGAUCAGUCUGAUGUCUUUAAACCAGCCUUAUUAUAGAGGGGAUCGGCAGGUCCUGGAUCAGUCUGAUGUCUUUAAACCAGCCUUAUUAUAGAGGGGAUCAGCAGGUCCUGGAUCAGUCUGAUGUCUUUAAACCAGCCUCAUUAUAGAGGGGAUCAGCAGGUCCUGGAUCAGUCUGAUGUCUUUAAACCAGCCUUAUUAUAGAGGGGAUCGGCAGGUCCUGGAUCAGUCUGAUGUCUUUAAACCAGCCUGAUGUCUUUAAACCAGCCUUAUUAUAGAGGGGAUCGGCAGGUCCUGGAUCAGUCUGAUGUCUUUAAACCAGCCUUAUUAUAGAGGGGAUCGGCAGGUCCUGGAUCAGCCUGAUGUCUUUAAACCAGCCUUAUUAUAGAGGGGAUCGGCAGGUCCUGGAUCAGUCUGAUGUCUUUAAACCAGCCUGAUGUCUUUAAACCAGCCUUAUUAUAGAGGGGAUCGGCAGGUCCUGGAUCAGUCUGAAGUCUUUAAACCAGCCUGAUGUCUUUAAACCAGCCUUAUUAUAGAGGGGAUCGGCAGGUCCUGGAUCAGUCUGAUGUCUUUAAACCAGCCUUAUUAUAGAGGGGAUCAGCAGGUCCUGGAUCAGCCUGAUAUCUUUAAAACAGCCUUAUUAUAGAGGGGAUCGGCAGGUCCUGGAUCAGCCUGAUAUCUUUAAAACAGCCUUAUUAUAGAGGGGAUCGGCAGGUCCUGGAUCAGCCUGAUGUCUUUAAACCAGCCUUAUUAUAGAGGGGAUCAGCAGGUCCUGGAUCAGUCUGAUGUCUUUAAACCAGCCUUAUUAUAGAGGGGAUCAGCAGGUCCUGGAUCAGUCUGAGGUCUUUAAACCAGCCUUAUUAUAGAGGGGAUCGGCAGGUCCUGGAUCAGUCUGAUGUCUUUAAACCAGCCUUAUUAUAGAGGGGAUCAGCAGGUCCUGGAUCAGUCUGAUGUCUUUAAACCAGCCUUAUUAUAGAGGGGAUCGGCAGGUCCUGGAUCAGUCUGAUGUCUUUAAACCAGCCUUAUUAUAGAGGGGAUCGGCAGGUCCUGGAUCAGUCUGAUGUCUUUAAACCAGCCUUAUUAUAGAGGGGAUCGGCAGGUCCUGGAUCAGUCUGAAGUCUUUAAACCAGCCUUAUUAUAGAGGGGAUCAGCAGGUCCUGGAUCAGUCUGAUGUCUUUAAACCAGCCUUAUUAUAGAGGGGAUCAGCAGGUCCUGGAUCAGUCUGAUGUCUUUAAACCAGCCUUAUUAUAGAGGGGAUCAGCAGGUCCUGGAUCAGCCUGAUGUCUUUAAACCAGCCUUAUUAUAGAGGGGAUCGGCAGGUCCUGGAUCAGUCUGAUGUCUUUAAACCAGCCUUAUUAUAGAGGGGAUCGGCAGGUCCUGGAUCAGCCUGAUGUCUUUAAACCAGCCUUAUUAUAGAGGGGAUCGGCAGGUCCUGGAUCAGUCUGAUGUCUUUAAACCAGCCUUAUUAUAGAGGGGAUCAGCAGGUCCUGGAUCAGCCUGAUGUCUUUAAACCAGCCUUAUUAUAGAGGGGAUCGGCAGGUCCUGGAUCAGUCUGAUGUCUUUAAACCAGCCUUAUUAUAGAGGGGAUCAGCAGGUCCUGGAUCAGUCUGAUGUCUUUAAACCAGCCUUAUUAUAGAGGGGAUCGGCAGGUCCUGGAUCAGUCUGAUGUCUUUAAACCAGCCUUAUUAUAGAGGGGAUCGGCAGGUCCUGGAUCAGUCUGAUGUCUUUAAACCAGCCUUAUUAUAGAGGGGAUCGGCAGGUCCUGGAUCAGUCUGAAGUCUUUAAACCAGCCUUAUUAUAGAGGGGAUCGGCAGGUCCUGGAUCAGCCUGAUGUCUUUAAACCAGCCUUAUUAUAGAGGGGAUCAGCAGGUCCUGGAUCAGUCUGAUGUCUUUAAACCAGCCUUAUUAUAGAGGGGAUCGGCAGGUCCUGGAUCAGUCUGAUGUCUUUAAACCAGCCUUAUUAUAGAGGGGAUCGGCAGGUCCUGGAUCAGUCUGAUGUCUUUAAACCAGCCUUAUUAUAGAGGGGAUCGGCAGGUCCUGGAUCAGUCUGAUGUCUUUAAACCAGCCUUAUUAUAGAGGGGAUCGGCAGGUCCUGGAUCAGUCUGAUGUCUUUAAACCAGCCUUAUUAUAGAGGGGAUCGGCAGGUCCUGGAUCAGUCUGAUGUCUUUAAACCAGCCUUAUUAUAGAGGGGAUCGGCAGGUCCUGGAUCAGUCUGAAGUCUUUAAACCAGCCUUAUUAUAGAGGGGAUCAGCAGGUCCUGGAUCAGCCUGAUGUCUUUAAACCAGCCUUAUUAUAGAGGGGAUCAGCAGGUCCUGGAUCAGUCUGAUGUCUUUAAACCAGCCUUAUUAUAGAGGGGAUCAGCAGGUCCUGGAUCAGUCUGUCUUUAAACCAGCCUUAUUAUAGAGGGGAUCGGCAGGUCCUGGAUCAGUCUGAAUGGAAGUGGGGGGUUAAGAAGCUCCCCUGUUCCUCGAUGCGAGAGACCAGACAUCACCAACACCUACAGUAUCCAGCUGCUACUGAUGGGACCUCACACAGGGGUCAGGGAGGGAGAUGGUAUUGUCUUUGGUCCCUGUGUGUGUGUGUGUGUGUGUGUGUGUGUUUCCAUCACGUGCUGUAGGCCUGGUCUCCCAGUCCGAUGCCUGCAGCAGCAGUGUGUGAGGUCUCGGAAGGUGUGGUGUCGUAACCCAGUCUCUUCAUGUCUUUAGUCACAAUGUGGAAGGAGAGGGAGACGAAACCCUGAGAACGGACCCUGGUCACU